This 711-nucleotide ribosomal RNA is filed under the name Serratia marcescens. Its description in RNAcentral is "partial 23S ribosomal RNA". It matches the Rfam family "Bacterial large subunit ribosomal RNA", at positions 2238 to 2925 of the family's 2925-position model. The record is from RNAcentral. Lineage: Bacteria; Pseudomonadati; Pseudomonadota; Gammaproteobacteria; Enterobacterales; Yersiniaceae.
AUCCGGGGUGAGGACAGUGUCUGGUGGGUAGUUUGACUGGGGCGGUCUCCUCCCAAAGAGUAACGGAGGAGCACGAAGGUUAGCUAAUCACGGUCGGACAUCGUGAGGUUAGUGCAAAGGCAUAAGCUAGCUUGACUGCGAGAGUGACGGCUCGAGCAGGUACGAAAGUAGGUCUUAGUGAUCCGGUGGUUCUGAAUGGAAGGGCCAUCGCUCAACGGAUAAAAGGUACUCCGGGGAUAACAGGCUGAUACCGCCCAAGAGUUCAUAUCGACGGCGGUGUUUGGCACCUCGAUGUCGGCUCAUCACAUCCUGGGGCUGAAGUAGGUCCCAAGGGUAUGGCUGUUCGCCAUUUAAAGUGGUACGCGAGCUGGGUUUAGAACGUCGUGAGACAGUUCGGUCCCUAUCUGCCGUGGGCGUUGGAAGAUUGAGAGGGGUUGCUCCUAGUACGAGAGGACCGGAGUGAACGCACCACUGGUGUUCGGGUUGUCAUGCCAAUGGCAUUGCCCGGUAGCUAAGUGCGGAAAAGAUAAGCGCUGAAAGCAUCUAAGCGCGAAACUUGCCUCAAGAUGAGUCUUCCCUGGGCCUUCAAGGCCCCUGAAGGAACGUUUAAGACUAAGACGUUGAUAGGCUGGGUGUGUAAGUGCAGCGAUGCAUUGAGCUAACCAGUACUAAUGAUCCGUGAGGCUUAACCUUACAACACCGAAGGUGUUU